Molecule: ribosomal RNA, 253 nt
Filed under: uncultured bacterium
Lineage: Bacteria
Description: partial 16S ribosomal RNA
Rfam family: Bacterial small subunit ribosomal RNA
Source: RNAcentral
UACAGAGGGUGCAAGCGUUAAUCGGAAUUACUGGGCGUAAAGCGUGCGUAGACGGUUAUGUAAGUCGGGUGUGAAAGCCCCGGGCUCAACCUGGGAAUUGCAUUCGAGACUGCAUAGCUAGGGUGCGGAAGAGGGAAGCGGAAUUUCCGGUGUAGCGGUGAAAUGCGUAGAUAUCGGAAGGAACACCAGUGGCGAAAGCGGCUUCCUGGUCCAGCACCGACGUUCAGGCACGAAAGCGUGGGGAGCGAACAGG